UAGCCCCCGUGAUGUCUAGCAAUGGGCUCUGACCACCCCUUGAAGACUUGAUGCCCCCCCCCCCAGGACCUUUGACACCUGGGGAAAUGAGGGACCC
Small nucleolar RNA from Jaculus jaculus (lesser Egyptian jerboa), 97 nucleotides. Lineage: Eukaryota; Metazoa; Chordata; Mammalia; Rodentia; Dipodidae. The record is from RefSeq and is a predicted model, not a curated record.